UGUAAGCGUAUACCAAAGUUGUUGCAGUUAAAACGCUCGUAGUCGGAAUUUGGCAGUUCCGGAUGUGUGCACGUCGUGUGCGCACUUCGCGGGGAUUGCUUUUGUGGUCUUGCGUAGGAUGAGGCACUUUUAUUAGUGAACGUCCUCACGCAACCACUGUUUACUGUGAGAAAAUCAGAGUGCUCAAAGCAGGCAUUUGCCGUGAAUGUAUUAGCAUGGAAUAAUAGAAUAGGACUUGGUUCUAUUUUGUUGGUUUGUUGGGACUGAGUAAUGAUUAAGAGGGACAGUUGGGGGCAUUUGUAUUUCGGUGCUAGAGGUGAAAUUCUUAGAUUACCGAAAGACAAACUGCUGCGAAAGCGUCUGCCAAGGAUGUUUUCAUUGA
This 382-nucleotide ribosomal RNA is filed under the name uncultured eukaryote. Its description in RNAcentral is "partial 18S ribosomal RNA". It matches the Rfam family "Eukaryotic small subunit ribosomal RNA", at positions 592 to 976 of the family's 1831-position model. The record is from RNAcentral.